GACGAACGCUGGCGGCGUGCUUAACACAUGCAAGUCGAACGGAAAGGCCCUGCUUUUGUGGGGUGCUCGAGUGGCGAACGGGUGAGUAACACGUGAGUAACCUGCCCUUGACUUUGGGAUAACUUCAGGAAACUGGGGCUAAUACCGGAUAGGAGCUCCUGCUGCAUGGUGGGGGUUGGAAAGUUUCGGCGGUUGGGGAUGGACUCGCGGCUUAUCAGCUUGUUGGUGGGGUAGUGGCUUACCAAGGCUUUGACGGGUAGCCGGCCUGAGAGGGUGACCGGCCACAUUGGGACUGAGAUACGGCCCAGACUCCUACGGGAGGCAGCAGUGGGGAAUAUUGCACAGUGGGCGGAAGCCUGAUGCAGCAACGCCGCGUGCGGGAUGACGGCCUUCGGGUUGUAAACCGCUUUCGCCUGUGACGAAGCGUGAGUGACGGUAAUGGGUAAAGAAGCACCGGCUAACUACGUG
RNAcentral lists this ribosomal RNA (468 nucleotides) under uncultured bacterium. RNAcentral's name for it is "partial 16S ribosomal RNA". It matches the Rfam family "Bacterial small subunit ribosomal RNA", at positions 28 to 507 of the family's 1533-position model. The record is from RNAcentral.